AAUCGUGAAAAAUGGAAGACAGUAGCACAGACACAGAAAAAGAAGAGGAAGAGGAGAAAGAUGAAAAGGAUCAAGAGCCCAUUUAUGCCAUAGUGCCCACAAUUAACAUUCAAGAUGAGCGGUUUGUUGAUUUAUCUGAAACUCCAGCUUUCAUUUUUCUGCAUGAGAUGCCCUGGGGACGGAGCAUGCCUAAGAUACUGUCUCUAAAUGAAAGUGAUCUCUGCCCUGUCCUUUCAACCUCACAUUCAUGGUAAGUAGAGGUCUAAACGCGGAGAUGGCUUUCCAAAGUAUAAGGAGACAGUCAGCAACAGCGGUCCCAGUGACUCAGGUGAAAACCCAAGGUUUGGGGAGCCAAUGCCACUGUUAGUUCGUGGGUGGAGUAGGCGAUUAAGUCUGUGGAAUUUCACAUGUAUUUAUUAAAGUUAAUUCAAGUAAUUUGGAUGGUGAGGAUGGGUUCUACUUCUUGAAUUCUAACUUCAGGUAAAAGAGAAAUAUGAAUAUCUUCCUUCCCUUAGUGGCAUGCCAAAACUCUCCCCUUAAAAUAUUUUUUGUGCC
RNAcentral lists this small RNA (555 nucleotides) under Pongo abelii (Sumatran orangutan). RNAcentral's name for it is "processed transcript". The record is from RNAcentral. Lineage: Eukaryota; Metazoa; Chordata; Mammalia; Primates; Hominidae.